UUGGGAAUUGGUGCUUGUGGCCAAGAUGCUGUUGAUUCCGAUGAGCUUAAGUUUGUGUAUCACAGAGAUGGUCAAGAUUUUAUCCAGGUCUUACCAACUUUUGCUUCACUAUUCACCCUUGGAUCUAUGA
Camelina sativa (false flax) is the source of this 130-nucleotide non-coding RNA. Lineage: Eukaryota; Viridiplantae; Streptophyta; Magnoliopsida; Brassicales; Brassicaceae. The record is from RefSeq and is a predicted model, not a curated record.